CAGGGCACAGCUCGGCGGUAGAGCACAUGCUUGGCAUGCAUGAGGUCCUGGGUUCAGUCCCCAGUGCCCUCA
RNAcentral lists this transfer RNA (72 nucleotides) under Camelus bactrianus (Bactrian camel). It matches the Rfam family "tRNA". Rfam says of the family: Transfer RNA (tRNA) molecules are approximately 80 nucleotides in length. RNAcentral also lists the same sequence under 2 other names. The record is from Rfam by way of RNAcentral. Lineage: Eukaryota; Metazoa; Chordata; Mammalia; Artiodactyla; Camelidae.